AAGGAGGAGGAUAGAAACAUCAUUUACACCUCCCUAGAACAGACUGCCUAUAGAUGACUGGGAUGAAUUGAGAAAUCAUAAUGGACAGAUACAGGACAGACAGUU
Molecule: small nucleolar RNA, 105 nt
Organism: Erinaceus europaeus (western European hedgehog)
Lineage: Eukaryota; Metazoa; Chordata; Mammalia; Eulipotyphla; Erinaceidae
Source: Ensembl